This is a small nucleolar RNA of Cryptomeria japonica (Japanese cedar), 90 nucleotides long. RefSeq annotates it as small nucleolar RNA Z43. NCBI's taxonomy places the organism in Eukaryota, Viridiplantae, Streptophyta, Pinopsida, Cupressales, Cupressaceae. The record is from RefSeq and is a predicted model, not a curated record. The transcript has a single exon.
GGGCAAUGAUGAAUUACUAAAGGUCUCGUUCGGCGUAAUGGCUAAAAACCUUGACGACGACUCUUAUAUCACCACCCAUAAUCAGAGCCC